GUAGGUAUAGUUUAACCAAAACAUUAGAUUGUGAUUCUAAAAAUAGAGGCUAAUAUCCUCUUACCCACC
This 69-nucleotide transfer RNA is filed under the name Citharichthys arctifrons (Gulf Stream flounder). Its description in RNAcentral is "tRNA-His". It matches the Rfam family "tRNA". Rfam says of the family: Transfer RNA (tRNA) molecules are approximately 80 nucleotides in length. Their secondary structure includes four short double-helical elements and three loops (D, anti-codon, and T loops). Lineage: Eukaryota; Metazoa; Chordata; Actinopteri; Pleuronectiformes; Cyclopsettidae. The record is from RNAcentral.